This 454-nucleotide ribosomal RNA is filed under the name uncultured bacterium. Its description in RNAcentral is "bacterial SSU rRNA". It matches the Rfam family "Bacterial small subunit ribosomal RNA", at positions 29 to 526 of the family's 1533-position model. The record is from RNAcentral.
AACGAACGCUGGCGGCACGCUUAACACAUGCAAGUUGAACGACAAGCUUAGGCUUGUAGUGGCAAACGGGUGAGUAACGCGCAGGAACGUACCUGUAGGUGGGGGAAAGCCACUGGAAACGGUGGGUAAUACCGCAUAACCCCCGAGGGGGAAAGAUUUAUCGCCUAUAGAUCGGCCUGUGUCAGAUUAGGUAGUUGGUGGAGUAACGGUCUACCAAGCCAACGAUCUGUAGCUGGUCUGAGAGGAUGAUCAGCCACACUAGGACUGAGAUACGGCCUAGACUCCUACGGGAGGCAGCAGUGAGGAAUAUUGGACAAUGGGGGCAACCCUGAUCCAGCGAUGCCGCGUGAGCGAUGAAGGCCCUUGGGUCGUAAAGCUCUUUUAGCAGGGACGAUGAUGACGGUACCUGCUGAAUAAGCACCGGCAAAAGGCGGGAAAGAAGAAGAAGGAAAAC